CUUACAUCCAAAUUAGCAAAAGCAGAUGCUAUUUCUCCAAAUAUUGAAGAAGACCCGUUUAAAGGUGUCUGCUGGAAACAUUGUCAUCACUUAGGUGUAUUCUUGAAUUGGGGAUUUCAUUGCCACCAGACAUUCAGCAACAGCAAUACGGCAGAGCAUGGAAGGUGAACCUGAGAUUAUGGACUUCAAUCAGCCCCCAUGAGACCAUGGCCCAUCAGCAAAGGUGAUACAGUUGUAUACAAAAACUAAAUGCCACACUUCCUCCUGGAACAUUAAUUGAAAAAAAAAUUUCACAG
RNAcentral lists this long non-coding RNA (296 nucleotides) under Vulpes vulpes (red fox). RNAcentral's name for it is "lncRNA (ENSVVUG00000013963.1)". The record is from RNAcentral. Lineage: Eukaryota; Metazoa; Chordata; Mammalia; Carnivora; Canidae.